This 105-nucleotide unclassified non-coding RNA is filed under the name uncultured Glomeromycotina. RNAcentral's name for it is "sequence contains ITS1". Lineage: Eukaryota; Fungi; Glomeromycota. The record is from RNAcentral.
CUGAUUUGGCAAACCGAGCGUUAGCGAGGUUUUGCGAUCACACUUAUAUUUAAAACCCAACUCUUUAAAUAUAUAUAUUUGUAUUUUAAAUGAUAAAAAUAAAGA